RNAcentral lists this ribosomal RNA (315 nucleotides) under uncultured eukaryote. RNAcentral describes it as "partial 18S ribosomal RNA". It matches the Rfam family "Eukaryotic small subunit ribosomal RNA", at positions 1470 to 1796 of the family's 1831-position model. The record is from RNAcentral.
CCCUUAGACGUUCUGGGCCGCACGCGCGCUACACUGACCAGUGCAACAAGCAUCCGUCCUUGGCCGACAGGCCCGGGCAAUCUUUGAACGCUGGUCGUGAUGGGGAUAGACUUUUGCAAUUUUUGGUCUUCAACGAGGAAUUCCUAGUAAACGCAAGUCAUCAACUUGCAUUGAUUACGUCCCUGCCCUUUGUUCACACCGCCCGUCGCACCUACCGAUUGAAUGGUCCGGUGAAGCCUCCGGAUUGGCGCGCACCUCGGUGCCGCCGAGAAGUUGGCUAAACCUUACCAUUUAGAGGAAGGUGAAGUCGUAACA